CUAAGAAUCUUCCGCAAUGGACGAAAGUCUGACGGAGCGACGCCGCGUGGGCGAAGAAGGCCGUGAGGUUGUAAAGCCCUUUUCUACUUGAGGAAUAAGCCCCUGAGGGAAUGCGGGGGUGAUGACGGUAGGGUAGGAAUAAGCCCCGGCUAAUUACGUGCCAGCAGCCGCGGUAACACGUAUGGGGCGAGCGUUGUUCGGAAUUAUUGGGCGUAAAGGGCGCGUAGGCGGAUAGACAAGUCUGGUGUGAAAGACCGCAGCUCAACUGCGGGCACGCGCUGGAAACUGUAUAUCUUGAAUCCUUGAGGGGGAACUGGAAUUCCUGGUGUAGGGGUGAAAUCUGUAGAUAUCAGGAAGAACACCGGUGGCGAAGGCGAGUUCCUGGCAAGUGAUUGACGCUGAGGCGCGAAAGCGUGGGGAGCGAACAGGAUUAGAUACCCCCGUAGUCC
RNAcentral lists this ribosomal RNA (449 nucleotides) under uncultured prokaryote. Its description in RNAcentral is "bacterial SSU rRNA". It matches the Rfam family "Bacterial small subunit ribosomal RNA", at positions 355 to 796 of the family's 1533-position model. The record is from RNAcentral.